This 497-nucleotide ribosomal RNA is filed under the name uncultured bacterium. RNAcentral's name for it is "partial 16S ribosomal RNA". It matches the Rfam family "Bacterial small subunit ribosomal RNA", at positions 28 to 507 of the family's 1533-position model. The record is from RNAcentral.
GAUGAACGCUGGCGGCGUGCCUAAUACAUGCAAGUCGAGCGAACGGACGAGAAGCUUGCUUCUCUGAUGUUAGCGGCGGACGGGUGAGUAACACGUGGAUAACCUACCUAUAAGACUGGGAUAACUUCGGGAAACCGUAGCUAAUACCGGAUAAUAUUUUGAACCGCAUGGUUCAAAAGUGAAAGACGGUCUUGCUGUCACUUAUAGAUGGAUCCGCGCUGCAUUAGCUAGUUGGUAAGGUAACGGCUUACCAAGGCAACGAUGCAUAGCCGACCUGAGAGAGUGAUCGGACACACUGGAACUGAGACACGGUCCAGACUCCUACGGGAGGCAGCAGUAGGGAAUCUUCAGCAAUGGGCGAAAGCCUGACGGAGCAACGCAGCGUGAGUGAUGAAGGUCUUCGGAUCGUAAAACUCUGUUAUUAGGGAAGAACAUAUGUGUAAGUAACUGUGCAAAUACCGACGGUACCUAAUCAGAACGCCACGGCUAACUACGUG